GAUUGAACGCUGGCGGCAGGCCUAACACAUGCAAGUCGAACGGUAACAGGAAGAAGCUUGCUUCUAUGCUGACGAGUGGCGGACGGGUGAGUAAUGUCUGGGAAACUGCCUGAUGGAGGGGGAUAACUACUGGAAACGGUAGCUAAUACCGCAUAACGUCGCAAGACCAAAGAGGGGGACCUUCGGGCCUCUUGCCAUCGGAUGUGCCCAGAUGGGAUUAGCUAGUAGGUGGGGUAACGGCCCACCUAGGCGACGAUCCCUAGCUGGUCUGAGCGGAUGACCAGCCACACUGGAACUGAGACACGGUCCAGACUACUACGGGAGGCAGCAGUGCGGAAUAUUGCACAAUGGGCGCAAGCCUGAUGAAGCCAUGCCGCGUGUAUGAAGAAGGACUUCGGGUUGUAAAGUACUUUGAGCGGGGAGGAAGGGAGUAAAGUUAAUACCUUUGCUCAUUGACGUUACCCGCAGAAGAAGCACCGGCUAACUCCGUG
RNAcentral lists this ribosomal RNA (491 nucleotides) under uncultured bacterium. Its description in RNAcentral is "partial 16S ribosomal RNA". It matches the Rfam family "Bacterial small subunit ribosomal RNA", at positions 27 to 507 of the family's 1533-position model. The record is from RNAcentral.